CACUAUCGUUAACUGAAUACAUAGGUUAACGAGGCGAACCGGGGGAACUGAAACAUCUAAGUACCCCGAGGAAAAGAAAUCAACCGAGAUUCCCCCAGUAGCGGCGAGCGAACGGGGAGCAGCCCAGAGUCUGAAUCAGCUUGUGUGUUAGUGGAACGGUCUGGAAAGUCCGACGGUACAGGGUGAUAGUCCCGUACACCAAAAUGCACAGGCUGUGAACUCGAAGAGUAGGGCGGGACACGUGGUAUCCUGUCUGAAUAUGGGGGGACCAUCCUCCAAGGCUAAAUACUCCUGACUGACCGAUAGUGAACCAGUACCGUGAGGGAAAGGCGAAAAGAACCCCGGCGAGGGGAGUGAAAAAGAACCUGAAACCGUGUACGUACAAGCAGUGGGAGCACCUUCGGGUGUGACUGCGUACCUUUUGUAUAAUGGGUCAGCGACUUAUAUUCUGUAGCAAGGUUAACCGUAUAGGGGAGCCGCAGGGAAACCGAGUCUUAACUGGGCGUUAAGUUGCAGGGUAUAGACCCGAAACCCGGUGAUCUAGCCAUGGGCAGGUUGAAGGUUGGGUAACACUAACUGGAGGACCGAACCGACUAAUGUUGAAAAAUUAGCGGAUGACUUGUGGCUGGGGGUGAAAGGCCAAUCAAACCGGGAGAUAGCUGGUUCUCCCCGAAAGCUAUUUAGGUAGCGCCUCGUGAAUUCAUCUUCGGGGGUAGAGCACUGUUUCGGCUAGGGGGUCAUCCCGACUUACCAACCCGAUGCAAACUACGAAUACCGAAGAAUGUUAUCACGGGAGACACACGGCGGGUGCUAACGUCCGUCGUGAAGAGGGAAACAACCCAGACCGCCAGCUAAGGUCCCAAAGUCAUGGUUAAGUGGGAAACGAUGUGGGAAGGCACAGACAGCCAGGAUGUUGGCUUAGAAGCAGCCAUCAUUUAAAGAAAGCGUAAUAGCUCACUGGUCGAGUCGGCCUGCGCGGAAGAUGUAACGGGGCUAAACCAUGCACCGAAGCUGCGGCAGCGACACUAUGUGUUGUUGGGUAGGGGAGCGUUCUGUAAGCCUGCGAAGGUGACCUGUGAGGGUUGCUGGAGGUAUCAGAAGUGCGAAUGCUGACAUAAGUAACGAUAAAGCGGGUGAAAAGCCCGCUCGCCGGAAGACCAAGGGUUCCUGUCCAACGUUAAUCGGGGCAGGGUGAGUCGACCCCUAAGGCGAGGCCGAAAGGCGUAGUCGAUGGGAAACAGGUUAAUAUUCCUGUACUUGGUGUUACUGCGAAGGGGGGACGGAGAAGGCUAUGUUAGCCGGGCGACGGUUGUCCCGGUUUAAGCAUGUAGGCUGGUUGUCCAGGCAAAUCCGGAUAAUCAAGGCUGAGGUGUGAUGACGAGGUACUACGGUGCUGAAGUAACAAAUGCCCUGCUUCCAGGAAAAGCCUCUAAGCAUCAGGUAACAUCAAAUCGUACCCCAAACCGACACAGGUGGUCAGGUAGAGAAUACCAAGGCGCUUGAGAGAACUCGGGUGAAGGAACUAGGCAAAAUGGUGCCGUAACUUCGGGAGAAGGCACGCUGGUGUGUAGGUGAAGUCCCUGCGGAUGGAGCUGAGACCAGUCGAAGAUACCAGCUGGCUGCAACUGUUUAUUAAAAACACAGCACUGUGCAAACACGAAAGUGGACGUAUACGGUGUGACGCCUGCCCGGUGCCGGAAGGUUAAUUGAUGGGGUUAUCCGUAAGGAGAAGCUCUUGAUCGAAGCCCCGGUAAACGGCGGCCGUAACUAUAACGGUCCUAAGGUAGCGAAAUUCCUUGUCGGGUAAGUUCCGACCUGCACGAAUGGCGUAAUGAUGGCCAGGCUGUCUCCACCCGAGACUCAGUGAAAUUGAACUCGCUGUGAAGAUGCAGUGUACCCGCGGCAAGACGGAAAGACCCCGUGAACCUUUACUAUAGCUUGACACUGAACAUUGAGCCUUGAUGUGUAGGAUAGGUGGGAGGCUUUGAAGCGUGGACGCCAGUCUGCGUGGAGCCAACCUUGAAAUACCACCCUUUAAUGUUUGAUGUUCUAACGUUGGCCCCUUAUCGGGGUUGCGGACAGUGUCUGGUGGGUAGUUUGACUGGGGCGGUCUCCUCCCAAAGCGUAACGGAGGAGCACGAAGGUUAGCUAAUCCUGGUCGGACAUCAGGAGGUUAGUGCAAUGGCAUAAGCUAGCUUGACUGCGAGCGUGACGGCGCGAGCAGGUGCGAAAGCAGGUCAUAGUGAUCCGGUGGUUCUGAAUGGAAGGGCCAUCGCUCAACGGAUAAAAGGUACUCCGGGGAUAACAGGCUGAUACCGCCCAAGAGUUCAUAUCGACGGCGGUGUUUGGCACCUCGAUGUCGGCUCAUCACAUCCUGGGGCUGAAGUAGGUCCCAAGGGUAUGGCUGUUCGCCAUUUAAAGUGGUACGCGAGCUGGGUUUAGAACGUCGUGAGACAGUUCGGUCCCUAUCUGCCGUGGGCGCUGGAGAAUUGAGGGGGGCUGCUCCUAGUACGAGAGGACCGGAGUGGACGCAUCACUGGUGUUCGGGUUGUCAUGCCAAUGGCACUGCCCGGUAGCUAAAUGCGGAAGAGAUAAGUGCUGAAAGCAUCUAAGCACGAAACUUGCCCCGAGAUGAGUUCUCCCUGAGACUUUAAGUCUCCUGAAGGAACGUUGAAGACGACGACGUUGAUAGGCCGGGUGUGUAAGCGCAGCGAUGCGUUGAGCUAACCGGUACUAAUGAACCGUGAGGCUUAACCUU
Molecule: ribosomal RNA, 2758 nt
Filed under: Klebsiella pneumoniae
Lineage: Bacteria; Pseudomonadati; Pseudomonadota; Gammaproteobacteria; Enterobacterales; Enterobacteriaceae
Description: bacterial LSU rRNA
Rfam family: Bacterial large subunit ribosomal RNA
Source: RNAcentral